Molecule: long non-coding RNA, 446 nt
Organism: Homo sapiens (human)
Lineage: Eukaryota; Metazoa; Chordata; Mammalia; Primates; Hominidae
Exons: 4
Source: RefSeq, a predicted model, not a curated record
CUUGAGGUGUUACCAGAUCUACUGAGAGAAGGACGCAGUAAUUCACACUGAAAGACAGUAGACCUGUACUAUCUCAAAAAUCGGCAUAACAAGAAGAGUUUUAUUUAUUAUUUUUAAAUGAAAGUCUACCUUGUCACUGCUUUAAAAAAAUAUUGACAAAUUUAAAGUUGAUUUUUAUAUUGGGAGUUCUGGUUUAAGAUGGUGUCAGAAUUGGGAUCCAAAGUAGAGCUUCUAAUGAUCCCCAUGAGCACUGAGUGACCAUCCGAGGUACCUGCCAGUCUUACUGUGUCCUUUGGUCUCUUGGAGCAGCUGGGGACUAUGAGUCUCCGGAUUCCGGGAUCUAAAUGGGUAGUCAUGAUGAGAACGCAAAGACUGAAUCUUUGGAGAACAUCAGAGAAUCACUGCCCUUGCUAUUCACACUGCAGCAAAACUUCGGGAACUUGAAC